RNAcentral lists this long non-coding RNA (720 nucleotides) under Triticum aestivum (bread wheat). RNAcentral describes it as "long non-coding RNA (TAES_LNC004371)". The record is from RNAcentral. Lineage: Eukaryota; Viridiplantae; Streptophyta; Magnoliopsida; Poales; Poaceae.
UGUUUUUUGAUACUAUCUUUAACUGGAUUCCAGUUAACAAUAGCUUUACCCCUCUUCAACUUGCGAUAGUUAUGCACACAACUGAUAGAAAGAAAGAUACAACCAGAAGUACUAAUGUUACUGCUCAUAUAAUGUCAUCAGCAUUACAAAGAGCAUCAUAUAGCAUAACAACAAACCCAUACCAACUCACAGAAACAAAGAUACAUCCAGAAGUACUAAUGUGACUGCUCAUAUCAUUUCUUCAGCAUUAUGAAGAGCACCAGCAAGCAUAGCAGCAAACCGAGAGCAAGGCCUAACUUCAUGAGCAACAAGAUCUCUCUUGCUAUCAGUAUGAAAGCAUUCAUCAUCGUCAACAGUCUGCCAUCAUGAGCGUCGUUGCUGGCAAUACUGGAUGCAAAGUUUCGCCGCUUGCUCACGCUCAAGCUCUUCCCUUGUAGAUCUAGCGUACUGUAGUGCAACAGCAGCAUCUUCACCUACAAGGAAGCGUUGCUGAAUCAGAUACUCCACAUAUUGCAGCUCCUAAUGCCAGAAUUUAUGCGUACCCUGAAAUUUGGGAAACAGGAAACCAUACACUAAAUUAGUGAUGCCUCGAUAUGAUGGGUAACCAAAAGCUGAAUGUGUUGAAUGAGAAGAUCUUACUCCGUCUGAUUUGCACUUGUAGAACACCCAGCCUUCAUGAGGAUACUUCCUUCAGAAAAGAACACCAACCUGCUCAUGACA